UCCUGUGUGGCUCAGUUGGUAGAGCAUGGUGUUUGCAACGCCAGGGUUGUGGGUUCGUUUCCCACUGGGGGAC
Molecule: non-coding RNA, 73 nt
Organism: Salmo salar (Atlantic salmon)
Lineage: Eukaryota; Metazoa; Chordata; Actinopteri; Salmoniformes; Salmonidae
Source: Rfam